GAUGAACGCUGGCGGCGUGCCUAAUACAUGCAAGUCGAGCGAACGGACGAGAAGCUUGCUUCUCUGAUGUUAGCGGCGGACGGGUGAGUAACACGUGGAUAACCUACCUAUAAGACUGGGAUAACUUCGGGAAACCGGAGCUAAUACCGGAUAAUAUUUUGAACCGCAUGGUUCAAAAGUGAAAGACGGUCUUGCUGUCACUUAUAGAUGGAUCCGCGCUGCAUUAGCUAGUUGGUAAGGUAACGGCUUACCAAGGCAACGAUGCAUAGCCGACCUGAGAGGGUGAUCGGCCACACUGGAACUGAGACACGGUCCAGACUCCUACGGGAGGCAGCAGUAGGGAAUCUUCCGCAAUGGGCGAAAGCCUGACGGAGAAACGCCGCGUGAGUGAUGAAGGUCUUCGGAUCGUAAAACUCUGUUAUUAGGGAAGAACAUAUGUGUAAGUAACUGUGCACAUCUUGACGGUACCUAAUCAGAAAGCCACGGCUAACUACGUG
This 497-nucleotide ribosomal RNA is filed under the name uncultured bacterium. Its description in RNAcentral is "partial 16S ribosomal RNA". It matches the Rfam family "Bacterial small subunit ribosomal RNA", at positions 28 to 507 of the family's 1533-position model. The record is from RNAcentral.